GCCGGGCGUGGUGGCGUGCGCCUGUAGUCCCAGCUACUCGGAAGGCUGAGGUGGGAGGAUCGCUUGAGUCCAGGAGUUCUGGGCUGCAGUGCGCUAUGCCGAUCGGGUGUCCGCACUAAGUUCGGCAUCAAUAUGGUGACCUCCCAGGAGCGGGGAACCACCAGGUUGCCUAAGGUGGGGUGAACCGGCCCAGGUCGGAAACGGAGCAGGGCAAAACUCCCGUGCUGAUCAGUAGUGGGAUCGCACCUGUGAAUAGCCACUGCACUCCAGCCUGGGCAAUAUAGUGAGACCCUGUCUCA
This 299-nucleotide signal recognition particle RNA is filed under the name Cavia aperea (Brazilian guinea pig). RNAcentral's name for it is "Metazoan signal recognition particle RNA (ENSCAPG00000002453.1)". It matches the Rfam family "Metazoan signal recognition particle RNA". From Rfam's summary of the family: The signal recognition particle (SRP) is a universally conserved ribonucleoprotein. It is involved in the co-translational targeting of proteins to membranes. The eukaryotic SRP consists of a 300-nucleotide 7S RNA and six proteins: SRPs 72, 68, 54, 19, 14, and 9. The record is from RNAcentral. Lineage: Eukaryota; Metazoa; Chordata; Mammalia; Rodentia; Caviidae.